RNAcentral lists this transfer RNA (66 nucleotides) under Epiverta chelonia. RNAcentral describes it as "tRNA-Asp". Lineage: Eukaryota; Metazoa; Arthropoda; Insecta; Coleoptera; Coccinellidae. The record is from RNAcentral.
AAAAGUUUAGUUAAUAAAUAACAUUAACUUGUCAAGUUAAAAUAAUUAAAAUUUUAAUAAUUUUUA